GACGAACGCUGGCGGCGUGCCUAAUACAUGCAGGUUGAGCGGACCGAAGGGAGCUUGCUCCUUUAGGUUAGCGGCGGACGGGUGAGUAACACGUGGGCAACCUGCCCUGCAGACUGGGAUAACUUCGGGAAACCGGAGCUAAUACCGGAUAAACACCGAAAACCGCAUGGUUUUCGGUUGAAAGGCGGCUUUUAGCUGUCACUGCAGGAUGGGGCCCGCGGCGCAUUAGCUAGUUGGUAAGGUAACGGCUUACCAAGGCAACGAUACGUAGCCGACCUGAGAGGGUGAUCGGCCACACUGGAACUGAGACACGGUCCAG
Molecule: ribosomal RNA, 319 nt
Filed under: uncultured bacterium
Lineage: Bacteria
Description: bacterial SSU rRNA
Rfam family: Bacterial small subunit ribosomal RNA
Source: RNAcentral